RNAcentral lists this long non-coding RNA (290 nucleotides) under Setaria viridis. RNAcentral's name for it is "long non-coding RNA (SVIR_LNC010763)". The record is from RNAcentral. Lineage: Eukaryota; Viridiplantae; Streptophyta; Magnoliopsida; Poales; Poaceae.
ACGGAAGUGACAGAAGAGGGCAGGCCGGUUACUCCCGAGGAAGUAGCAAAGAAGUACGUGAGUCAGAUCGGGGCAAUCAUCCGGGACAACAUGCCUAUCAGCAUCAGAGAAUGGAAGGGCAGAAGCACUAAUCCAUACGCCCUCUCGGAGACAGAAAAGAAUAUGCUGUGGGAAGACGUCAAGAGACAUUUCACAUUCCCUGAAGGAUAUAUUGAAAAGGAUGUGAAAGUGUUGAUGCUGAAGAAGAUGGCUACACAAUUCCAGACAUUCAAGAAGAUGUUGGAUGCCCA